This 414-nucleotide long non-coding RNA is filed under the name Cyanistes caeruleus (blue tit). RNAcentral describes it as "lncRNA (ENSCCEG00000000892.1)". The record is from RNAcentral. Lineage: Eukaryota; Metazoa; Chordata; Aves; Passeriformes; Paridae.
CUGAGCUGUAACCAACAGGAGGUGUCCUAAGGGCACAAAUUGUUUCUUCAUAAAAGAUCAGGAGCAGUAAGCAGCUGGGGAGGGGUGUGAGCAACAUCCACAUGUGGAACACGUCUGCAUCUCAUCCAGGGAAAAUGCUGGGACCUUGUGCCAAGCUUAAAUGCAUGCAGACCUUGGGAACGGCAGUGGGACUUCUUUGAAAUUUCUGUUUCUGCUGACACAGGGUAUUCUCUAUCACAGCCUUUCACUGCAGCCACUUCUGCCUUAUUUCAUAGUGUCUAAAGCCCUGGACUAUGAAAGGUCCAAAUGCAGCAGUAGGAUCUGCAGAUGGGAUUCUCCCUGCAGGUAGCAAGUGCUUCAGCAUCUAAAGGCAAGAUUCUGUUUCAUGCAUGUUAGUUUGACUUUGAAAAUGGG